UACGUAGGGGGCAAGCGUUGUUCGGAAUUAUUGGGCGUAAAGCGCGUGUAGGCGGCUUAGCAAGUCGGGCGUGAAAGCCCUCGGCUCAACCGAGGAAGUGCACCCGAAACUGCUGAGCUUGAGUGCCGGAGAGGAUGGCGGAAUUCCCCAAGUAGAGGUGAAAUUCGUAGAUAUGGGGAGGAACACCGGUGGCGAAGGCGGCCAUCUGGACGGUAACUGACGCUGAGACGCGAAAGCGUGGGUAGCAAACAGG
RNAcentral lists this ribosomal RNA (253 nucleotides) under uncultured bacterium. Its description in RNAcentral is "partial 16S ribosomal RNA". It matches the Rfam family "Bacterial small subunit ribosomal RNA", at positions 524 to 776 of the family's 1533-position model. The record is from RNAcentral.